Molecule: non-coding RNA, 4083 nt
Organism: Vicugna pacos (alpaca)
Lineage: Eukaryota; Metazoa; Chordata; Mammalia; Artiodactyla; Camelidae
Source: RefSeq, a predicted model, not a curated record
UGCCCGUUUUAAGUGUCUGCCUAAAUGUAAUCAUUCAGUGUAUACUUUUCUGUGUACUUUUCAUGAGAUUCAGCCUUGUUGUCCUAUGUCAUAAUUUUUCACUUUUAUUGCUCUGUACUAGUAUUUCACUAUAUAAAUAUACCACAAGUCAUGUAUCCAUUCUACUGUUGAUUUCCAGUUGGGUUGUUUUAAGUUGUUGGCUCUUAAAGAUAAUGCUGCUAUGAAUAUUCCUGAAUAUAUAUGUCUUAAAUGAACAUAGGCAUGCAUUUCUUUUGUGAAUAUGCUUAGUUAUCCUGGGUCAUAGGUUUUGUGUAUGAUCAACUUUAGUAGAUACUAGAAAACAGUUUUACGAAGUGGCUGUACCAAUUUCCAUACUCACUAGUGGUAUGGAAGAGUUCCAGUUGCUCCACAUCCUUACUAACACUUGUUAUUGUCAGCAUGUAAUGAGAACUGUGAAAUUGUCAUUGCAUAACUUUGUUGUGUUAGUCAUUCUGGUAAUAACUGUUGAAGCUGAACCCUUCUCUUAUGUUUAUGGACUAUUUGUAUAUGCUUCUUUUGGAAAGUGCUUUUCAAAUCUUUUAUCCAUACUUUUGUUCUACAGCAACAUCAUGAAGAUACUCUCCUCUGUUUUCUUUAGAAGUUUUUUUUUUUGGUUGUUUUAUUUUACAUUUAGGUCAACAGUCCAUUUGGAAUUAUGUACAAAGUACAGGUUAAAAUUUACUUUUUUCAUAAAGGUAUACAACUGAUCCAGCAUUAUUCAUUACAAAGACUAUCCUUUUGCCCCUGAUCUGCUAUGCUACUUUUGUCAUAAAAUCAAUUGUUUAUAUGUGUUUGGAUCUGUUUCUGGACUUUUAAAUUUGACAUAUUAGUUACCAGCUAAUAUGGUUUGGAAUUGGAACGCUGGUCUGUACUAUCUGAUACUCUGAAGUGCCUGACUGCAUUUGGCCUGUAGCCUUAGCAUGAAGUUCUGAGAAAGUAAAACCAAUUAAUGCAGAAAAUCUACUCUGAAUAUAACAACCAGAAAGAAUAGUAGAGAUUUUUUUCAAUCAUAUUCCCUUAUUUUUAAAAUGAGAAAACAGGUCUACCCAAGUGUGCUGAAUAUCCUGUUUACCCAGCCACAUCCUCCCUCCACCCUUCUCCACCUUCUGUGCCCUUGGAGGUCCCCACAACAGUGGGUUCCCUUGCCUUAAAAUUUCUAGUUCAUUCAGUUUAUCGGGAACAUUGACUUGAGGAUGGAGGAAAGUGAGGUCAGAUAUUUAUUCCCUUAGCUAUCUCCCAGCAGGUUGACUGAUUCUCUCCUAAUAUGGCUCCUGGUGAAUGACCCUCAACCCUCUUCUUCCAGAUGCCAAUGAUCACUUAUUUCUUUUGUCCCAGGCCAGGGAUAUUAACAGUAUCCUACCAUUACUAGCCCCAGGAGAACACACUGAGUUUCUGAUACUGCAUGUACUAGACAAGAGAAUGGGAGGUGGGACCCAAAGAAGAGUCAAAGGGCAUAUGUAAUUCUCUUGAUGAAGGUUCCUAGAAGCUGCUACAUGACACUUCUGCUCACAUUUCAUUGACCAGAACUUAGUCAUUUGGCCACAGCUAUCUGUAAAGCUGAGAAAUGUUUUAGAUAGGUAAGUGCCAAACUAAAAAUCUUACAUGCUGAGAAUAACAGUUUCUACCACCCCUUCCAUUUAACUCAAGUUAUUUAGCGUACUCUGGGCUACUCACUUUUCUGAGAUACAGGGAUGAAUGAUGAAUGGCCCUGGUCCAGUCUAAUACAGCAUAGUGAUUCGUCCCUCCAGCAAAUGACUAUGUCAGUCCCUGUGCUAAGCAUUAGAGGUUCCAGAGUACACAAGACAGUGUUCCUGCUCAAGACAGUCAGUAAUGAAUAUAUACUGCUCUUAUAAGUGUUACCCAGGGGAGAAGUGGCGGGGAAUAGAAGAGAUCUGUCUCUGAAGGGAGACCACAAGUUUGCCGUGUGAAUGAGGAGACAGACCUUCCAGACUCAGACACAACAUGAAGAAAUCACAGAGCAUGAAAGUACAGUAUUUCCAGGGAGCAGCAAGGAUUCUAGGGGGCUUAAGAGCAUAACCUGCAUGGAGGAGAGUGGGUAAAGAUGGCUGGACAAGUCCAUAGUGGCCAAGGAAGGCAGGACACCGUGGGCCAGUGCAGGCAUCUAACAAUGCCUCACUCACCCCACCCGCCAACCUCUUGGGCCGUUCAUGCCCACGGAGGGCUUGCAAUCAGUCACAAAUAAAUAAUAAUAUCAUAUCAGGAAGUACAUCAAGCUCAGGCCCAAGUUAUAUCCUUUGGAAAAUUUACCAGAGAUCUGAAUCUUGAAAUUUCAGCCUCUUUCUUGGCUUGAACAAUCUGAUGGAAUUCUGGAAUAACUUGCUUGGCCUGACUCACUCCCAAUGUUGGGAAGAAAAGCAGGAGAGAAGGGGGGAUCAGGAGGCCUCUCACUCCCAUUUAGCGUUCAGAAACGGCUCCAAGUGGUUUGUUUUGCCAUCAACACAAAUGUCUAAAAUGAAAAGUUUUUUUUGGUCUUCCCACAGGUACAUUCUACAAAAGAAGAGGAGGACAAAGAAUGACGAAAAUGAAGGAGCAUUAUGCAUUUUCAUAAGUACCUAUGAUGGACCAGAUGUUCAUCCAGCUUUUGGGGCUAAACGGAGAAAUUUGGACACAGAAUACACACAGGGAGAUAAAGACAAGAUUAGAGUGAUGAUUCUACAAGCCAAAGAAUGCCAAAGAUUGUCAGCAAAAUAUCGGAAGUUGGAAAGAGACCUGGAACAGAUUCCCUCUCAGAGCCCUCAGAAGGAAUCAACUCUGCCAACACCAUGAUCUCAGACUUCUAGCCUCCAGAACUGUGAGACAAUAAAUUUCUGGUAUUGAAGCCACCUAGUUUGUGGUGCUUUGUUACAGCAGCUCCAGGAACCUGAAACAUGGGACACACUGUGUUGUCUUUCCAGCUCACUGUUGUUCUGGGAAACCUCCCUCCCUCCCCAUUUACUGUGAGAGCAGCCAUGUUGAACAACGUGACCCCAGUUUUGACUGGAGUUCACCAAGAACUUGCAUUUCAGACCAGGGAGCAAGUCUCCAGUGACGGAAGCUGAAAAAUACAAAACUUGGUAACUGCCAACAACUGUGUUUUUCACAACAAAGAGAGAGCCAGUCUGCCACAAGACAAAGCUGGCACCCAGAGAAGCAGAGACGAGGCUGGGAGGGAGCGCUGGCGGCUUUCCAGCGCUGGCUCCAUCGGUGCCGCAGGCUCCAGCUCUGUGGGGACCUGGCUGUGGCCCGAAUUCCAGAAGACUGCCGUGACUGUCUGAUAUAACAGGAAUUCUGAGCCAAACUGGACAGUGUGCAGCCACUCCUGUGGAAGGACCCACCUGCACUGCUCUGGCCUGACACUGGUGAGGAGCAAGGUGGUACUGUAUCCUUGGAUGAAGUCUCAUGACAAGAAACAGAGAGGUGAUGGAAUUUUCCAGUGGACUCCAAGUUCCAUGGAGAGAGGCAUGGAAACCUGUACUCUUCUGGGUGCCUGGAAAGAGUGCUCACUAGAACCUCCACUAACCUCUUCUGAAGGCAGAGGCAUCCCUUCUGGAGGAAUGUAGUCCACAGGGAGCAUGGCUUGGCUAAUGGCUGGACUCACUUCUAAUGAAUAGAAUUCAGCAAAAGUGAUGUUAUCAUUUCCGAGAUUAUGCUACAAAAAGACUGCGACUUCUGCCUCACUCAUCCUGCCAUACUGUGAACUGCUCUAUGAAGAGAGCUACGUAGCAAGAAAUUGAUGGCUCUGUCCAAGGACAGCAAGAACUCAACACCUGUCAACUGCCAUGUGGGUGAGCUUAGGAGAUCUCCCCUCAUUUGAGCCUUAAGAUGAUUUCAACACUAACUAACACCUUAUAGCAUUUUCGUGAGAAAUCUUAAGGGCAAGACAGACAGAAAGGCUACACUCAAAUUCCUGACCCAUAGAAGCUACCAGAUAUUGUUGGUUGUUUUACGCCAUUAAGUUAGGUUGUUUGUUAUACAGCAAUAGAUAACUAACACACACACAUAACACCCCCAGGAAUACAAGAUUGGGAGCUUUUCACCAAACAC